CAUUCCGAACUCAGAAGUGAAACGAAAUAGCGCCGAUGGUAGUGUGGGGUUUCCCCAUGUGAGAGUAGGACAUCGCCAGGCU
This 82-nucleotide ribosomal RNA is filed under the name Vibrio parahaemolyticus SBR10290. Lineage: Bacteria; Pseudomonadati; Pseudomonadota; Gammaproteobacteria; Vibrionales; Vibrionaceae. RNAcentral also lists the same sequence under 2 other names. The record is from RNAcentral.